UACGUAGGGUGCGAGCGUUGUCCGGAAUUAUUGGGCGUAAAGGGCUCGUAGGCGGUUUGUCGCGUCGGGAGUGAAAACCCAGGGCUUAACUCUGGGCUUGCUUUCGAUACGGGCAGACUAGAGGCAUGCAGGGGAGAACGGAAUUCCUGGUGUAGCGGUGGAAUGCGCAGAUAUCAGGGAGGAACACCGAUGGCGAAGGCGGGUCUCUGGGCCGAUACUGACGCUGAGGAGCGAAAGCGUGGGGAGCAAACAGG
RNAcentral lists this ribosomal RNA (254 nucleotides) under uncultured bacterium. Its description in RNAcentral is "partial 16S ribosomal RNA". It matches the Rfam family "Bacterial small subunit ribosomal RNA", at positions 524 to 776 of the family's 1533-position model. The record is from RNAcentral.